GAAAUGCGAUAAGUAAUGUGAAUUGCAGAAUUCAGUGAAUCAUUGAAUCUUUGAACGCACAUUGCGCUCGCCAGUAUUCUGGCGAGCAUGCCUGUUCGAGCGUCAUUUCAACCAUCAAGCUCUGCUUGCGUUGGGGAUCCGCGGCUGCCCGCGGUCCCUCAAAAACAGUGGCGGGCUCGCUAGUCACACCGAGCGUAGUAACUCUACAUCGCUAUGGUCGUGCGGCGGGUUCUUGCCGUAAAACCCCCAAUUUCUAAGGUUGACCUCGGAUCAGGUAGGAAUACCCGCUGAACUUAAGC
Molecule: unclassified non-coding RNA, 299 nt
Filed under: plant metagenome
Description: partial contains 5.8S ribosomal RNA, internal transcribed spacer 2, and large subunit ribosomal RNA
Rfam family: 5.8S ribosomal RNA (bases 1-105)
Source: RNAcentral